CUUGACCGACCCCAGCCACAGGGGCCGUUCGCGACCCGUGCCGUACGCCGCGAGCAGGGCCUGCGCCUC
RNAcentral lists this antisense RNA (69 nucleotides) under Streptomyces longwoodensis. Its description in RNAcentral is "ASpks TB sRNA". It matches the Rfam family "ASpks TB sRNA". Lineage: Bacteria; Bacillati; Actinomycetota; Actinomycetes; Kitasatosporales; Streptomycetaceae. The record is from Rfam by way of RNAcentral.